AUUGAACGCUGGCAGCAUGCCUUACACAUGCAAGUCGAACGGCAGCACGGGAGCAAUCCUGGUGGCGAGUGGCGAACGGGUGAGUAAUAUAUCGGAACGUGCCCAGUCGUGGGGGAUAACGUAGCGAAAGCUACGCUAAUACCGCAUACGAUCUAUGGAUGAAAGCGGGGGAUCGCAAGACCUCGCGCGAUUGGAGCGGCCGAUAUCAGAUUAGGUAGUUGGUGAGGUAAAGGCUCACCAAGCCGACGAUCUGUAGCUGGUCUGAGAGGAUGAUCAGCCACACUGGGACUGAGACACGGCCCAGACUCCUACGGGAGGCAGCAGUGGGGAAUAAUUGGGACAAAUGGGCGAAAGCCUGAUCCAGCAAUGCCGCGUGAGUGAUGAAGGCCUCGGUUGUAAGUACG
RNAcentral lists this ribosomal RNA (404 nucleotides) under uncultured bacterium. RNAcentral describes it as "bacterial SSU rRNA". It matches the Rfam family "Bacterial small subunit ribosomal RNA", at positions 30 to 432 of the family's 1533-position model. The record is from RNAcentral.